CGGGAUCCGCCUCGGCCAGCGAACCAUUGCUGCACUCUGGCGAGGACUCUGCUUCUAGGACUGGAAUUGCGAGUGGGUGGAGUCGCCUGGAGGCAGCUGGCUCCGCCCGACCCUCCGGCGAGUCCAGAACACAGUUACCUGCCCCGGUUGCCCGCCAGAACGCAAAGGGAGAGGAACACGCCAGACCGGAAACGGAAGAGAGUGCGGGGGACUUAUUUGGCACCGGGACGCGCUAUUUCGGUUGCACUCCUGGUUGGCUUUGUGUCUUCGCUGUUUCCUAGAGUCUCGGCGUUCCUACCUCUGCGCCCCCUUUCCUGCCACCGUUUGUUCUCUGGAAGCCCGGAGACAUCAGCGGCUGUAAUUGUGCUACUCGCUGCUCGCUAUGGGACGGUCAGAAGCAAGACCCUGAGUCCCGAGUUGGUGGCAGCUGCAUCUGCUAUUCCCUUUUGACAAGCAAACAAGCCAGAGCUGCUCAGGCAGCUCAGUAGCAUGAGGAAGAGUCAGGGGCACAGAGAGAUGGAUGGAGACCUAAAAUUAGUAGCAGAAUAUCAGAUAUGAAAGUUGCCAGAUGUGCUACACCUAGAGUUAGUAUAAGAACAGAGCAUCAGAUUCAGUUUGCCCAAGGCUAUGACAAUUAUCCUGACCAGGAGAAGACUGCUGAUCUUAGAAAAAGACAUAUGACCUUCUCUUUGGGAUGUGGAAUUUGCUAAGCAGUUAGCCACAGAAAAUGAACAACUCCUUCAGAAUGGGUUUGAAAAGCUGAUCCAGUGGACAAAAGAAGGGAAACUGUAGGAGUUCCCAGUUAACAGUGAAGCAGAUUCCUUGGGAAUACAUAAUGUUCGUAUAUGGAAACUCUCAAUGCCUUUCUUGCUAACUGUAGGAUAAAGUCCAAAAUCCUUAGCUUAACAUUCAAAUUCCUCCAUCAAACUGGGUUCCUAGGCCGACUAUUUCAGAGUUAAUGUAAUUCUCUUCUUUUUUGAGAUAGUGUCUCGCUCUGUCACCCAGUCUGGAGUGCAGUGGCACAGUCUUGGCUUGCUGCAUCCACCUCCCAGGUCUCAAGCGAUCCUCUCACCUCAGCCUCCCGAAUUGCUGGAAACAUCGGCUUGCACCAUGCCUGGCUAAUUGGAUUUUGUAUUUUGUGUAGAAAAAGGUUUUCAUCAUGUUGCCCAGUCUGGUCUUCAACUCCUGGGCUCAAGAGAUCCACUCCUCCUUGGCCUUCCAAAGUGCGGGCAUUACAGGUGUGAGCCAUUGCACCCAGCUGAUGUUUUUCAUAAAAUGCAAAUUCUUUGGUUCCACCCCAUACCUACUGAAUUUGUAUCUCAUGGGAAAGCUAUACAGUUUGCAUUUUUUACUAGUAUUGUUUAUUUCUUGCUACUCAGAGUGGUGCCAAGUGAGAUGCUCCUUUGACAAUCUCAGCCAUUUCCAUGGCUCGGUCACAUCUGAUAUCCACAUCCAAUCAGUCAUGCAGCCCAGGCAAUUUACCUCCUGAAAAGCUUUUGUCAUUCAUCUUCAUGUUUCGACUUUAAGUUACCAUCAUUUCUUGCAAUGAAUAUGCAAACUUCUGAACAGGGUUUACAAGCACCAGUAUGAUCUGCCCCUAUAUCAUGUCUUGACUCUCUGUAGCCCUAACAUAUUCUGGUCACCAACUCUUGAGUAAGACAUGGCUCUCAAUACUUGGUCUCUCCACACCAAAUCAUUGAUUCAACAUUGUUUUUCAAGGAAGGACCUGUGAUGCCACUGUUACUGUCCUUUAUUCUGUGUUUCUGUUUAUCAGUAAGGAGACCUUUCCCAGAAUCCCUGAGCAGACAUCUCAUACAUGGCCCAUUGGCUAGAUUAGUUAUUAUACCCCUUCCUAAACCGUACUGUUGCCCAAUAUGGCCAAAAAUGUGGGGUUGGGGUCCCAACAAUGUGGGAUGUCGGAUUACCACAAAUGACUUAGUCAUGUGCUGGAGAAACAAAAUUGAGGCUCCACAGCAAGGGAAGAAGGGAGGAAUGAAGUAUUCUAUGUUUAUAUAUACACACGUCCUUUCUGUAUAAACAUUCAAAAAUGUUCAUGCCCAUGUGAAAAAUGUAUUUAUUUCCCAAAGAGAAUCAGCCAGAAUCUCAUCAGGAUACUCUGUCCAGCUUCAUGUCUGAUACUCUGGUGGGACAUGCAGGCUGUGGCUGCCUGGUGUCUUAUCCUCAACAGUCACAUGUGAUAUGAGCACUGGGAAGAAGACUCUAAGGCUGCUCAACUUUAGAGUACAUUUCCUUAUGGUGUGAGUUUGAUGUCCUGUCUCAGAGUCACUAUUUUCCCAGGCUGAAACAGUUGUGUCUCAAUGCCCUCCAUUUUGCCUUUUCCACCUGGCCAGUUACAGACCAUUCCAGAUCUGUUUUGUAGCACUCCACUUCCAAAUACCAAAUUGUCUAUCGGUUUGGAUUCUUAAGCAACAGAGAUGGAUUCUAGUUUUCAGUAUAAGAUAAAUUGAAUUAGAAGAAUAUUGUUCUGCUCACAGAAUGGCCAAAAGGACUAGAGAAUCAGCAUCAAUCUGAGCCACAUGGCUAGGAAUAAAUCCUGCAACGAUACUGCAUAACUGGUUGGGUGAGGAAAUUGUAGCCACUGUUGCCAAGCACUGACACACUGUGCUUUGUAACACUAUCUACUGCUUUGGAAAUUUGAUCUUGACACAUGUGCUGCUGCAUCUGGAGAGGAUAUGCUAAGGUCCUGCCUUGAUUUGUUGUUGUUAACCAGCUACCAAUUUUAAAGUUUGUGCAAGUUCAGUUAAGUUGUUUAGUAUUUCAGCUUUUAUAGAGGGAGACUGGCUCAGUGGGAAGACUCAAGGAAUUCCCCAAACAAAAGAAAGACCUACUUAAGGACAAAUCCAGGUUUUAUAGUGCCAAAAUUUACACAAUUUGGUGGGGUUGUGGAAGUUGAAAGGGGAUUUAUUUAGGAAAAAUACAUAUAAAUUUAUAAUAAAUUAGAGGAUUUGAAGGGGCUUUUGCAGAUGAACAUCCCUGAAGUUCUACUUCCCAAAUCACUGCACUAGCUCUGCUUUCCAGCCACUUUGCUCAGCAGUUUAUCUCAUGCUGGUUAACUCCUAUAUGUUCUUCAGGCUUCGGCUGGGACAUUGCUUCCUCUAAGAGCUUUCUCUGAGCUUUCAAAAUCUUCUGACUGCUCUCAUAGAACCCUUUAAUCUCUCCCAUUUAGACAUAUAUGACACUAUAAUAAUUGCCUGUUGAUAUGCAUGAUUCCAACACAAGAUUAUUAAGUACCAAGAUUGCAGUCAUUUUAGUAUCCCCAGUCCCUAGCAUAUCUAUAAAUAGUAGGGACUCAAUAUUUAUUAAAUGAGAAAACUACAUAUUGUCCUUGCCACCACCUUCUCCCCCUUUUUCUUAAGGUAGAUGUUGCUCUGUUGCCCAGGUUGGAGUGCAGUAGCAUAAUAGUAGCUCACUGUAGCCUUGACCUCCUGGGCUCAAGCAAUCCUCCUACCUCAGCCUCAGGAGUAGUUGGGACUACAGGCGUGCACCACCACAUCUGGCUAAUUUAUUUUGUGGAGACAGAGUUCUACCAUGUUGCCCAGGUUGGUCUUGAAGUCCUGGACUCAAGGGAUGCUCCUGCUUUGGCCUCCCAAAGUGAUGGGAUUACAGGUGUGAGCCAGCCACUGUGCCUAGCCUCCUUGUCUGUUUUCAUGAUCAUGUUCUCAUGUUGCUUACAACUAUCCAUAUGUUGAUGACUAUCAAUUUUUAUCUAUACCUCUAAAUGUGUUUUUAAAAAAUGGCUUUAUAGGGCUAUAAUUGACAUAAAGCAAACCCCACACAUGAAAAUGUACAGUUUGAAGUGUUACAUAUAUAUAUACACACUGGUAAAAUCAUCACCAUCAUCAAGAUAGUGAACAUCCCUAUUAAUCCAAAAUGUUUCCUUGUGCCCCUUCUAUUAUUGAAAUUCUGCCCUGCUCUCCAACCCCCGCGUCCCACCCAGUAAGCCACUGAUCUGUUAUCUGUCAUAAAGAUGAGUUUUUUUAAUUUCCAGGAUUUUAUAUAAAUGGAAUCAUACAAAAUGUACUAUUUUUGUCUGAUUUCCUUCACUUAGCAUAAUAAUUUUGAGAUUCAUCCCUAUUGUAGUGUGUAGCAAUGCUUCAUUCCUUUUAUUGCUGAGUAGUAUUCCAUUGUAUGGCUAUACUGGCUAUAUUACUGUUGUUUUUUGUUUCUUUGUUUUGAGACGGAGUCUCACUCUGUUGCCCAGGCUGGAGUACAGUGGUGUGACCUUGGUUCACUGCAGUCUCCACCUCCUAGGUUCAAGUGAUUCUCCUGCUUCAGCCUUCCAAGUAGCUGGGACUAUAGAUACAUACCACAUUUUUUUUGUAUUUUUAGAUGAGACAGGGUUUUACCAUGUUGGCCAAGCUAGUCUUGAACACCUGAUCUCAGGUGAUCCGCCCACCUUGGCCUCCCAAAGUGUGGGAUUACAGGUAUGAACCACCACACCUGGCCAGCUGUACUGUUUAUUCACCUAUUGAUGUACAUUUGGGUUGUUUCCAGUUUUCAACUAUUAACCAUUAAAACUUCUAUAAACAGUCAUUCCUGCAGAAAUAUUGCAUGAACAUGUUAUUUCAUAUCUCGGGUGCUAAUUGUAUAGCAGUGGUCUAAAUCAUCUUAUGGUUGUGCCUUUUUACAUUCCUACCAGUGGUGUAUGAGUUUUCCAGUUGCUCUACAUCCUUGACAACAUUGUCAGUCUUUCUCAUUGUAGCCAUUUAAAUGGGUAUGUAGUGGUAUAUGGUUGUGGUUUUAAUUGGUUUCCCUAUUGAAUUAUAGUUUGAGUUUUGAGAGAUUUUUAUAUAUUCUGGAUGCAAGCUCUUCAUCAGAGAUGUGAUUAUAAAUAUUUUCAUAGUGUAUAAUCUUUUAAAUUUUGGUGAAGUCUAAUUUACAAAUUCUUUUAUGGAUCAUGCUUUUGGUGUGCUAAGAAAUCUUUGCCUAACCCAAAAUCACAAAGAUUUUCUUUCUUAUAGAAGUUUUAUAGGAGUUGUAGGCCCAUAAUCCAUUUUGAGUUAAUUGUGCAUGGUGCAAGAUAUGUACUGAAACUUACUUUUUGGUAUAUGUAUAUCCAAUUUGUUGUAAUGUCUAUCCUUUUCAGCUAUUUUUUCUUCACUGAAUUACCUUUGGACCUUUGUUAAAAAUCAGUUGUCCACAUAUGGUAUGGGUCUAUUUAUGGAUUCUCUGUUCCAUUAAUCUGUUUAUCUUUGUGCCAAUACCACAAGGUUGAAAAGUCUUGAAAUCAGGUAAUGUUCUCUCGAGAAUAACCCUAUGGUCGAAGAAGAACUUACGUUUGGAGUCCUGGGCUAAGGAAUCCAGAGUAGCAAACCCUGAGAUUCACUCCCUAUCUAUGAAGAACAUCCACACCUCUAGCCCAUAUCUUGGAACACAGGCUGUACAGGGGAUCAAGGCCCUUUGUUUUGGGUUCAGUGGAGGUUGCCAGAAAGAGGGUGCUAAGUGAAAAUACUACACAGACUAUAUGUUUUUUACAAACAGUAGCAGUUCUCCUAUCCAGCGUACCACCACUGGACCACCUUUAUAUGUAAGUCCUGAAUAAACCUUGUCUCCACUGGCUCUGCCUCUCCCUUUUUCUUUUUUUUUUUUUUUUUUGAGACAGAGUCUUGCUCUGUUGCCCAGGCUGGAGUACAGUGGUGCGAUCUUGGCUCACUGCAACCUCCACCUCCUGUGUUCAAAUGAUUCUUUUGCCUCAGCCUCCCCAGUAGCUGGGACUUACAAGGGUGUACCACCAUGCCCCGCUAAUUUUUGUAUUUUUAGUAGAGAUGGGGUUUCAUCAUAUUGGCGAGGCUGGUCUCAAACUCCUGACCUCGUGGUCCGUCCUUUUCGGCCUCCCAAAGUGCUGGGAUUACAAACCUGAGCUCCAUUGCCUGGCUCCACCUCUCUUCUUACAGUGCCAUUCCAAAUGGAGUCAGUGGGGGUCCAGAAGGACAACUGGCCAUUUAGAUAACAUUUGAAAGUUAACCAGUGUAAUUCACAGUAAAAAAUACAAAUGAACAUUUCAAUAAAGGCAGAAAAAGCAUUUGA
Long non-coding RNA from Callithrix jacchus (white-tufted-ear marmoset), 6048 nucleotides. RefSeq lists it as uncharacterized. Lineage: Eukaryota; Metazoa; Chordata; Mammalia; Primates; Cebidae. The record is from RefSeq and is a predicted model, not a curated record.